Molecule: ribosomal RNA, 393 nt
Filed under: uncultured Anoxybacillus sp.
Lineage: Bacteria; Bacillati; Bacillota; Bacilli; Caryophanales; Anoxybacillaceae
Description: bacterial SSU rRNA
Rfam family: Bacterial small subunit ribosomal RNA
Source: RNAcentral
UGACAACCCGAGAGAUCGGGCGUUCCCCUUCGGGGGACAGGGUGACAGGUGGUGGCAUGGUUGUCGUCAGCUCGUGUCGUGAGAUGUUGGGUUAAGUCCCGCAACGAGCGCAACCCUCGACCUUAGUUGCCAGCAUUCAGUUGGGCACUCUAAGGUGACUGCCGGCUAAAAGUCGGAGGAAGGUGGGGAUGACGUCAAAUCAUCAUGCCCCUUAUGACCUGGGCUACACACGUGCUACAAUGGGCGGUACAAAGGGUCGCGAACCCGCGAGGGGGAGCCAAUCCCAAAAAGCCGCUCUCAGUUCGGAUUGCAGGCUGCAACUCGCCUGCAUGAAGCCGGAAUCGCUAGUAAUCGCGGAUCAGCAUGCCGCGGUCGAAUACGUUCCCGGGCCUU